RNAcentral lists this signal recognition particle RNA (299 nucleotides) under Haliaeetus albicilla (white-tailed eagle). RNAcentral's name for it is "Metazoan signal recognition particle RNA". It matches the Rfam family "Metazoan signal recognition particle RNA". Rfam says of the family: The signal recognition particle (SRP) is a universally conserved ribonucleoprotein. Lineage: Eukaryota; Metazoa; Chordata; Aves; Accipitriformes; Accipitridae. The record is from Rfam by way of RNAcentral.
GCCGGGCACAGUGGCUUGUGCCUGUAAUCCAAGCGCCGGGGAGGCUGAGGCUGGUGGACGGCUUGAGCCUGGGGGUUCUGGGCUGCAGCGAGCUGUGCUGAGCGGGCGUCUGCGCUAAGUUCAGCAUCGAUAUGGUGGUCCUGGGGGAGCCGGGGGUCACCAGGUCGUCUAAGGAGGGGUGAACCGGCCCAGGUCGGAGACGGAGCAGGUCAAAACUCCUGUGCUGAUCAGUAGUGGGAUCGCACCUGUGAACAGUCCCUGUAGCACAGCCCGGGCGAGAGAGCGGGACCCAGUUUCCU